Molecule: long non-coding RNA, 1337 nt
Organism: Zalophus californianus (California sea lion)
Lineage: Eukaryota; Metazoa; Chordata; Mammalia; Carnivora; Otariidae
Exons: 4
Source: RefSeq, a predicted model, not a curated record
GGAAGUGGGAGGGCGGUUGGAGCGGCCUCCAGAAAGCGCCCCUGACUGCACCGGUGUUCUCUUGCUCGGCGGUGCUAAAACAAGCUUGCUCUGAGAAGCUGUAGAUGCUGUUUCUGCCGGGUGAAAAUAGUUUCUGUCGGCUCUGCUACUAUACACCCAUGUGUGAGGAAGAGAUGUGACGGACUCACUGCUAGGAAAGCCAGCGCUGGAGCCAUACCUCUCAUUAGGCCAACUCAAGAUCUGUGGCCCUCUGUCUUCUCUCAUAUUGGUUGUCCACUGGAGAGGUUUUUUCCUGUCCUGGGCUCUGCCUGCACAAAACAGUCUACGUCCAAGGGGCCCUCUGAAGCCUCCACCUCGGCCACUGCCACAGUCCCACCCCUGAAGAAACAAAGACACGCCCCCCUCCCAUGGCCAUGACAACGUUGUUAAAAUGAGUUUUGCUCCUAGAGGACGGUCACUUCAGCACUCACUGCGUCUCUGCCACAGUCCCAGAUGAAGACUCUGGCGUGUUCAGCAAAUGAUUUAGGUGAUCGGCCAGGUUUGGAACUACUUUCAUCUGAAUUGGUGGAUUAUUGGUCAAGCGAGGAGCCUGUCAUUGAGAUGUUCGAAUUGCCUAACAAAUGGGCAGAAUGACAACUCCAUUCAUAGGAGAGCCCAAAAGGGAACUAAAACUGCUCACGGUAGGAAAAUUCUGUGGUGAGUGUACAACCUUAGAGGAAUAUAGGGCUAGGGAACUGAGAAUGGGUGGGGACUUAUUUUCACUAAAAUGAAAUUAAAGAGUCAGAACUCUAAAUAGAGAUAAGGUCAGUGGCUUAUAUUUACAUGACUUCUGAUCAAUGGGCGGUGUUUGCUUCAUUUCCUUACUCUCUAGAUGUGCACUCUUCCUAUAGUAGCCACUAGCCACAUGUGGAUGCUGAGCACUGGAAAUGGGGCUAGUCCAAAUUGAAAUUGCUGUCCAUGUAAACUGCACACUGGAUUUCAAAGACUUUGGAAAAGUAACAGCUAAUGGACACCUUUAACAUUGAUUAUGUGUUAAAAGAAUAUUUUGGAUCCCCUGAGUUAAAGACAUAAUUAAAAUUCAUUUCACCUGUUUCUUUUUAUGUGUUUUUUUACUGUGGCUCCUAGAAAAUUUUAAAUUGCAUAUAUGGCCUGUGGGGGCUGAAAGCAUUCUUGAUCUGGGUGAUGGAGAUACACAUGUAUGUAUGUACGCACUGAAAUUCAUCAAACUGUGCCCUGAAGCCUUGGGUACUGCACUGUUGCAUAUAAAUAAAAAUCAAGUUUAAAAAAUUUAAAAAACAGGAAUGCCUGGGUGGCUCAGUCGGUUAAGUGUCUGCCUU